GUAUUAAUUUAUUAGUACAAUUAGGAAUAGGAAACAAUACCAAACCUUAUUGAGUAACAAUUAGAGGGCAAGUCUGGUGCCAGCAGCCGCGGGUAAUUCCAGCUCUAAUAGCGUAUAUUAAUACUGUUGCAGUUAAAACGCUCGUAGUUGAACUUAGAAUUAUUACAAGUUAUUUUACUUGAUUGUAAAGUGCUUGCUUAAUUCUUAUCUACUAGAUACUCUAUUCUGUACUUAAUUGUAUGGAAUAUCACCUAGCCAGUGGAACUUUGGUGAAAUAAUGCCUUUUUUAAUACCAGAGUGUAAAAACUUGAAGUGUUAAUUUGGGAUCACAUUAUUUUAUUGAAGUGGGGUUCUAGUUAAUUUACUUUGAGUAAAUUAGAGUGUUCAAAGCAGCCUCUUGGGGCUUUGAAUAGAUUUAGCAUGGGAUAAUAGAAUAGGAUUUGAUAAUCUAUUUGUUGGUUUGAAUUAAUCAAAUAAUGAUUAAUAGGGACAGUUGGGGGC
This 501-nucleotide ribosomal RNA is filed under the name uncultured eukaryote. RNAcentral's name for it is "partial 18S ribosomal RNA". It matches the Rfam family "Eukaryotic small subunit ribosomal RNA", at positions 487 to 889 of the family's 1831-position model. The record is from RNAcentral.